This 475-nucleotide ribosomal RNA is filed under the name Gammaproteobacteria bacterium. RNAcentral's name for it is "bacterial SSU rRNA". It matches the Rfam family "Bacterial small subunit ribosomal RNA", at positions 1056 to 1533 of the family's 1533-position model. Lineage: Bacteria; Pseudomonadati; Pseudomonadota; Gammaproteobacteria. The record is from RNAcentral.
CAGCUCGUGUCGUGAGAUGUUGGGUUAAGUCCCGUAACGAGCGCAACCCUUGUCCUUAUUUGCCAGCGGUUCGGCCGGGAACUAUAAGGAGACUGCCGGUGACAAACCGGAGGAAGGUGGGGAUGACGUCAAGUCAUCAUGGCCCUUAUGGGCAGGGCUACACACGUGCUACAAUGGUCGGUACAGAGGGCAGCAAUGCCGCGAGGCGGAGCCAAUCCCCGAAAACCGUUCGUAGUCCGGAUUGCAGUCUGCAACUCGACUGCAUGAAGUCGGAAUCGCUAGUAAUCGCGGAUCAGAACGCCGCGGUGAAUACGUUCCCGGGCCUUGUACACACCGCCCGUCACACCAUGGGAGUGGGCUGUACCAGAAGCAGGUUGUCUAACUUCGGAGGACGCUUGCCACGGUGUGGUUCAUGACUGGGGUGAAGUCGUAACAAGGUAGCCGUAGGGGAACCUGCGGCUGGAUCACCUCCUUU